GGGACGUGCGGUGGCUCGAGCUGUCCGUCGAGGAGUCGGUGCGAGUGUCGCUCGAUAUAGAUGGCUCCCGACCUGAGAGAUAAAGGGAGAGGUGACCCUUCUCAGCCUACAGGUUUCUGCUAAGUCGGUGCUGAACUGGAGAGAUUUCAGCACCGGCCUUCAAGAAGCAACUGUUGCCAGUGUUUGUUCAAUCUGUCGGAGUUCAGUUGCCAUGAUUUCCGGUGACAUUCUGCAAGCACUUCACCAAAAUGGCUGCGAUCUUAACGGUGUGAAAAUGUUCUCAAACAAUAGGCUUCAUCAGGGUGAGUGCAUGCCGAGUGUUGGCAACGGCAAAGGUAAUGCAGUCUU
Molecule: long non-coding RNA, 348 nt
Organism: Fundulus heteroclitus (mummichog)
Lineage: Eukaryota; Metazoa; Chordata; Actinopteri; Cyprinodontiformes; Fundulidae
Exons: 3
Source: RefSeq, a predicted model, not a curated record